UCUACGGGAGGCAGCAGUGAGGAAUAUUGGUCAAUGGGCGGGAGCCUGAACCAGCCAAGUCGCGUGAAGGAAGAAGGAUCUAUGGUUCGUAAACUUCUUUUGCAGGGGAAUAAAGUGCAGGACGUGUCCUGUUUUGUAUGUACCCUGAGAAUAAGGAUCGGCUAACCCCGUGCCAGCAGCCGCGGUAAUA
Molecule: ribosomal RNA, 190 nt
Filed under: uncultured bacterium
Lineage: Bacteria
Description: partial 16S ribosomal RNA
Rfam family: Bacterial small subunit ribosomal RNA
Source: RNAcentral